Conger conger (European conger) is the source of this 1573-nucleotide long non-coding RNA. RefSeq lists it as uncharacterized. The record is from RefSeq and is a predicted model, not a curated record. NCBI's taxonomy places the organism in Eukaryota, Metazoa, Chordata, Actinopteri, Anguilliformes, Congridae. The transcript has 3 exons.
AGUGCUGAGGUGCUAGAGACACUGGAUGACAGCUUGAUUUGAUUCUAGAUGGAAUGAAUUGCAUGUAAGAAAAGGUAGGUGAAUCUUUGAAUGGUAAAGAGGACUACACAGUGAGAAGUGAGUCAGUCUUGCUACAAAAGUUCUGGGGAAAAAACUAACCAAAAAAAUAACUCUUUGAAGGGUUAGAUUACAUUACAGGUAUUUAGCAGACUCUUAUUAAAAACAUUACACCACACUGCUACCCAAACACUAUUGUGCGUAUGUCACAGAAAUAAAUACGGUAAACAGAACCCUGAUUGGUCAAGGCCAUUUCCUCAUUCAGCUAAAAACCUCAAACCACAGUGAGGUGACACAAAAGAGAUAUAAAAAGGGCAGGCAGACCGUUGGCAACAAACUCGUCACAACGGUCCAGAAAUGGCGGAAUCGACGAUGUCCAUUUCUGACGGCACAUACACGGAUCUCACCUCUCCAGACCAUAACGUGUACGAAUCAUUGGGGGCGAGACCGAGCAAAACAGGACAAAGCUCUCCUCUCUACAGACAGGCUGCAGUGGCUCUGGGGCUGCUGUGUGUCAUCUUACUGACUGCCACCAUCACCCUGUGUGUCCUCUAUACAAGAGGUCUGGAGGAGCCCAAUGGCCACAAUAGCACUGUCUGUGUUGACAAAUACCAGCCAUGGAAAGACUACAACAACCUAUCUACUGCGAAAGACCAACUACAGACAGACUACAAUAGCCUAGUUACUGCGAAAGAGAAACUACAGACAGACUACAAUAGCCUAGUUACUGCGAAAGAGAAACUACAGACAGACUACAAUAGCCUAGUUACUGCGAAAGAGAAACUACAGACAGACUACAAUAGCCUAGUUACUGCGAAAGAGAAACUACAGACAGACUACAAUAGCCUAGUUACUGCGAAAGAGAAACUACAGACAGACUACAAUAGCCUAGUUACUGCGAAAGAGAAACUACACACAGACUACGACAGCCUCACCUUGCCUGCUGCUUAAAUGGCCAUGGGGCACAACGCUGUCCACACUGGAGGGCGGCCUGUAGUGUAGUGGUUAAGGUAAAGGACUGGGACACGCAAGGUUGGUGGUUCUAAUCCCGGAGUAGCCACAAUACGAUCCGCACAGCCGUUGGGCCCUUGAGCAAGGCCCUUAACCCUGCAUUGCUCCAGGGGAGGAUUGUCUCCUGCUUAGUCUAAUCAACUGAACGUCGCUCUGGAUAAGAGCGUCUGCCAAAUGCCAAUAAUGUAAUGUAAUGUUAUGAAAUGCACAGGAACUGAACUGCACAGGUUCCACCGGUCUGUUUCCUGCCUCACCAUUGCAUCAUCACACAGAGCCUGAGUGAAAAUAAACUAAACAAUAAGCAGUUAUCUUGGUUCCACACACACACGAAGGACAGGGCCAUUGGUUGAUAAAGUGUUCCCUUUACCAAUGUCCAGACAUGAUCUCAGGUAUAACUUUGUGCCUUGGAAAUGGCUAAAUAUAAUGUAUCUAAUGUGUGCAUAAUUGACAUGUUGCGUGCUUCCUCACAAAGUCAUGAAUUAAAAUCACCAUCCUUUGUUUUCAA